UGCAGUCGAGCGGAGAUGAGGUGCUUGCACCUUAUCUUAGCGGCGGACGGGUGAGUAAUGCUUAGGAAUCUGCCUAUUAGUGGGGGACAACAUUCCGAAAGGAAUGCUAAUACCGCAUACGCCCUACGGGGGAAAGCAGGGGAUCUUCGGACCUUGCGCUAAUAGAUGAGCCUAAGUCGGAUUAGCUAGUUGGUGGGGUAAAGGCCUACCAAGGCGACGAUCUGUAGCGGGUCUGAGAGGAUGAUCCGCCACACUGGGACUGAGACACGGCCCAGACUCCUACGGGAGGCAGCAGUGGGGAAUAUUGGACAAUGGGCGGAAGCCUGAUCCAGCCAUGCCGCGUGUGUGAAGAAGGCCUUUUGGUUGUAAAGCACUUUAAGCGAGGAGGAGGCUACUUAGAUUAAUACUCUAGGAUAGUGGACGUUACUCGCAGAAUAAGCACCGGCUAACUCUGUGCCAGCAGCCGCGGUAAUACAGAGGGUGCGAGCGUUAAUCGGAUUUACUGGGCGUAAAGCGUGCGUAGGCGGCUGAUUAAGUCGGAUGUGAAAUCCCUGAGCUUAACUUAGGAAUUGCAUUCGAUACUGGUCAGCUAGAGUAUGGGAGAGGAUGGUAGAAUUCCAGGUGUAGCGGUGAAAUGCGUAGAGAUCUGGAGGAAUACCGAUGGCGAAGCAGCCAUCUGGCCUAAUACUGACGCUGAGGUACGAAGCAUGGGGAGCAAAC
This 720-nucleotide ribosomal RNA is filed under the name Acinetobacter sp. RNAcentral describes it as "bacterial SSU rRNA". It matches the Rfam family "Bacterial small subunit ribosomal RNA", at positions 56 to 773 of the family's 1533-position model. The record is from RNAcentral. Lineage: Bacteria; Pseudomonadati; Pseudomonadota; Gammaproteobacteria; Moraxellales; Moraxellaceae.